GCUGAGCAAUUUAUGUCAAGAGAUCCAAUGCUCAAGAGAUCUAACUGCACUUCAGUGCAAGCUAGUAUUUCAUUGCUUUUUCAGAUGAGCCCAGGAUCAGCAGGGGAUCCCUUUCUCUCUCUUACAAUCAUAGAAUCAUUCUGCAGGAGCACUGAGCAUAUUUAUCUCCCACUAAAAGCAAUGGGAAAGUAGAUGUAGUUUGACACCUCAUAUGCAUGAGCCUGAUACAACUUUGCUGGCUCAGCAAAUCCCUGCCAUCUCAAUUCAGUAGCUGCACGAGCUUUGCAGCUGGUGUCUCUUUUAAGAUAUUAUUCUGGAGCUUGCAUACGCUGUGAUCAAUCUUCUGACUCCAAUUUUACAUUUAUGACCAUUAAAACAGAACCAGACUAAAAAAAUAUCUUUAUAAUAUGGUAGCUGUUGAUAAAACCUCCACAGACUGCCAGAUUGCACUGGCAGGAAGAGCUUCACUGAAGACAGAAAUAUUUCCAAACAGCUCCAGUUAUGCAGAUGGUUCUGCUAUUGGGCCUCUUUUCAAUUCUGUUCUUAGGAAAAUUAAUCCUCUUGAACAAGAACUCCAAAAUGUGCAACAUUUAGCUGCAGUUAAGAGCAACAGAGCACAUUACUCUGGAUUUAUCAGGCUCUGUCUUGGUUGUUUUAGAUUUUAAUGUGUUUUUGUCUUUGUAGUUGCAAAAUUAUUUAAGAAAGUGCUGCUGUGCUUGCAGCUUGCUUUACAUUCAGAUGUCCUAACUUGUUCUAUCUCAUCCUGGUCACAGUGGGAAAAUUACUAGGUGCUCAUUGCCUGCUGUGUUGUUCAGGGCUUGUACUGGUAAAUCAUCUAUUUUUAAGGUGUUUUUUUUUUACUUAAACUUUGCUUAGAUUUGUGUGUGUGGCAUCAGCCUAAAAGAAAAUGUUCCAUAAACAUGAAAGAACAGAUGAAUGAAUCACUCUAUGAAUAUUUUGGGCAAAUAAGGAAAAGGUAUUAUCAGUAAAGUUGAGAAGAAUAAAAAGCAAUCCCUGGUGAACCAUGGCUUGGGGAAAUAUUGUACUCUUCAGGUACAGAUGUUGGCAUAAUGAUGAUUUGCUGCAAUGAAACAUGGAAAGGAAGAACACAAGACAUAAGACCAGAGAAAAGGGUAAAUACUAGGAGGUUGGUGCACAAUAAUCAUAUUUUGUUGCAUUAUUAAUAGGAAUUAUGAAAAGAGAAAGAAAAGGUCAUUUUGACAGUGUUAGAAUCACUGUAACUGAACUAGAAAUAACUGCUUGCAUUUUGACAAGGAUGUCAGAAGGCUGAAUGGAACAGUAAUCACAGCAAAUUAACUGAAUUAUCCUUGUCUUCUCAGUAGCCUAUCACAAAACUGUGCUCAUAGAGAACAGGGCAUCAGGAUGAGCAGGAGGGCACCCAAUGAAGUCUGUAUGGAGUUUAUAAGCUCAGGCUUCACAGAGUGCUCGGAUGUGUGAAAAGAGAGUAAUUCAUCAGGGACAUCCAGCAAACUCAAAGUGAGCCAGAGCCCUUUUUCUUACACAAUCUGUCCCUAGAGAAGUGGGAAAUACCUCUGAGGUGAGUGUUGCUUUAUGGUCUAUUUCUGCAGCUUAUAUUUAAAAUUGGCCUACAAAUAAUGCAACUGGUGUAGCAAAGGAGGAGUAUUUUACAUAUGAAAUAACUCAAGCUCUCCAGAUGAACUUUACUUACCAGUGAACAUGACAGAGGAAGUUCCCCUUUCUAUGAUUCUGAUGACAUAAGCAUUUUCUCCUUUGGCUUUCUGAAUUUUUUUGGCAUACAUUUUAGAGUAGAUUUACAAUAGCAGAGCUAUGUUACAACUAUUCUAAUGGCUUGGGAUUUGUUGGAUUAGGGGAAAGGAUGCUAAACCAAAGGAUAAAACAUGAUAGAUAGACAGCCUUCCCAAGUGUGCCAAGAUACUUUAUUGUCACAAUUGGUCAGAGAGCAUGCUUUAUGAGCCCACAGAGUGCUGAAUAUUGUGCAAGACAUAUCUGGCAGCAGAGCAACAGCUCACUGAAACUAACAGAUCACAGUUCAGCUCCAACAAUUGACCUCUACGCUUCAGGCCAAAGGGACUGAGAUCAGUUUCUCCCAAAUUUUACAUUAAAAUAUUACAGAAUAGCAGAAUCGUUAAGGUUGGA
Gallus gallus (chicken) is the source of this 2139-nucleotide long non-coding RNA. The record is from Ensembl. NCBI's taxonomy places the organism in Eukaryota, Metazoa, Chordata, Aves, Galliformes, Phasianidae.